UUUCCGUAGGUGAACCUGCGGAAGGAUCAUUACAGAGUUCAUACACUAAAGGGUCGACCGCCCACCCUUGUUUAUUAUUACUUUCUUGCCUUGGCGGGCGCAAGGUCGCCAGAGAAUACCAAAACUCUUUUUACUAAUGUCGUCUGAGUACUAUAUAAUAGUUAAAACUUUCAACAACGGAUCUCUUGGUUCUG
This 194-nucleotide unclassified non-coding RNA is filed under the name plant metagenome. Its description in RNAcentral is "partial contains small subunit ribosomal RNA, internal transcribed spacer 1, and 5.8S ribosomal RNA". The record is from RNAcentral.